Molecule: long non-coding RNA, 484 nt
Filed under: Rattus norvegicus (Norway rat)
Lineage: Eukaryota; Metazoa; Chordata; Mammalia; Rodentia; Muridae
Description: long non-coding RNA NONRATT016195
Source: RNAcentral
CCUCUCAACACAUAAGUUCCCCAAUUGUCAACUGCUCCUCUGAAUGAAAAAAAUUAAUCAACUUUCCCUGCCAUUCAUUUCCACUCAAGGAAGGAAACUGCUUUAAGAGAGUGUAGGUUUAGGAUUCUUGAAAUGGGAGUGACCACACUCAAAUCCCCUGUGAUCCUGAGAAAGAACUGACCAUGUCCAAAGGUGAAAGGCGAGAUAGUGUUAGCACUCAGGUACCGCUGAAAGCGCUGCUCUUCAAACAACCUGGACACAGCCCUGAAAAGAAACCAGCGGCGUAACUGGCCUCAGAGGACCUCAUCUUAUGGGAAUGAGCCAUCCUCCUUCCCAACUCGGCUAAAGGACACUUCUCUGUGAAGGGAGCCUCUGAUACAUUGCCUAUAGCAAGAAGAAGGGGCCAACCUGAAGAAAAACAUGCCAUCUGCACUUGCUUUCGUCCUACUUGUUCUCAACAUCAGCCUCCUGAAGGGUAAGAGAC